UGAGGAAUAUUGGACAAUGGGCGCAAGCCUGAUCCAGCCAUGCCGCGUGCAGGAAGAAGCAUCUAUGGUGUGUAAACUGCUUUUGUACGGGAAGAAGCACUCCUUCGUGAAGGAGCUUGACGGUACCGUAAGAAUAAGGAUCGACUAACUCCGUGCCAGCAGCCGCGGUAAUACGGAGGAUCCAAGCGUUAUCCGGAAUCAUUGGGUUUAAAGGGUCCGUAGGCGGUUUAGUAAGUCAGUGGUGAAAGCCCAUCGCUCAACGAUGGAACGGCCAUUGAUACUGCUAGACUUGAAUUACAAGGAAGUAACUAGAAUAUGUAGUGUAGCGGUGAAAUGCUUAGAUAUUACAUGGAAUACCAAUUGCGAAGGCAGGUUACUACUUGUGGAUUGACGCUGAUGGACGAAAGCGUGGGGAGCGAACA
RNAcentral lists this ribosomal RNA (422 nucleotides) under uncultured bacterium. RNAcentral's name for it is "bacterial SSU rRNA". It matches the Rfam family "Bacterial small subunit ribosomal RNA", at positions 355 to 774 of the family's 1533-position model. The record is from RNAcentral.